GACUAACGCUGGCGGCGUGCCUAACACAUGCAAGUCGAGCGGGCGUAGCAAUACGUCAGCGGCAGACGGGUGAGUAACGCGUGGGAACAUACCUUUGGUUCGGAACAACACAGGGAAACGUUGUGCUAAUACCGGAUAAGCCCUUACGGGGAAGGAUUAUCGCCGAAGAUUGGCCCGCGUCUGAUUAGCUAGUUGGUGAGGUAACGGCUCACCAAGGCGACGAUCAGUAGCUGGCUGAGAGGAUGACCAGCCACAUUGGG
RNAcentral lists this ribosomal RNA (260 nucleotides) under uncultured bacterium. RNAcentral's name for it is "partial 16S ribosomal RNA". It matches the Rfam family "Bacterial small subunit ribosomal RNA", at positions 28 to 317 of the family's 1533-position model. The record is from RNAcentral.